GGGGUGGAGCAGCAGGUCUCUUUGGAGGUGGCCUGGAAGAAACCGGACAGAGAGGAUGGGAAGGGGAGAAACAGAAGAGUGUGACGAGAUCAUGAAGGAAAGAGGAGGCGUCUACUGAAUGUAAGGUAGAGCCAAAGGCAUCUAUUGAUGACUGAAGAAGAGGCAUGAAUAUGACAAAAACAGGAAGAAGCCCACAAUGAUGAUGAAAUUAGAAAGGAAGACAAGAACAACAAGGUUGUGGAAUUCAGAAGCCAUAUAGACAAGAGGUAACACACCUGAGAAAGAUGAUCCCUAAAUUUGUCUUGGAGAAAACUCGGAAGUACCUGACUACAUCAUAGACCUCCCAAACAGCUUCCAAAUGUCAGAUACCACUGAAAAUGGGGAUAAAGGUAGGGUCAAAAAUAGGAGGAUUGGGUUAUAAGUCUGUAUAAGAAGUUGUUAGAUCCCUACAUCCUCUCUUCAAACCUGUAUAGCCAGAUAAUGGUCCCUCUCCCAGCCUGGCAGAGGCUGGAUAAGGUAAAUAGAGAAAGUUACCUCCUGGAGAACAUUUGGCACAUUUGGGGAUGGAGUUCAGUAAUAUAAAUGAAGGGGUAGUGAAAAUUUAUGGGAACAUUUAUAACCUAACAGAACCCCAUGUCUUUUACCCCAUUCUAAUUCCAGACCACUAGAGAUUAGAAAAUUGUUCUCUGGGGUAUCUGACCACUUCCAGAGGAAAGACAUAAAGAUGCUGAUGUCAAGAAUGACCCAACUAAACGGCCCAGCCAGAUGACCCAGUUGAAGCUGGUGGACAAGAAGUUUCAUUCAUGGAAUCAGAACUUCCAAUAAGCUGGGAAAACGGCAAUGGAUUAAUAACAAGAAAUUAAUGGUGAAGUGGUGACGAAAAUUCUACAUUGCUUAGAAAGCAAAUAGUGAAAUGAACAUUUACAUUCUGGCAACCUCAGAAGUACAACGAACAGAGGACACCAGCCAGGUAGGGCAAAGGCCUGUGCGCCCCCUUUUGCUGUUACAUGUUUAUCAGAUGCGUGCUCUGUUUCUGUUGUAUUACAUUACUUUUCUCUUCAAUGUCUACUGAGGAAGAACAAGUAGCUCCUCAGGCAAGUCAACUGUUAACUCUGCAGUUUUUAUUUAAUCUCCCAGGAAUGUAACCCUUAACUUUAAAGAAUGUAGUGACCAUAAAACUUAUAAGGCAUGUUUCUUAAGGAAAUUGUACCUGUUUAUUUAAUCUAUCAGAUAUGAAUGUUAUAGAAAAUUAAAUUUGUCCACUUAAGCUGUAGAUGAACUUUUCACCUUUCUGAUCAGAAAUUCACCAUUUUAUAGUAUAGGUUCUGUUAUUAAUCAGAAUAUUUCAUUUAGACUCUUUCUAUCCAACUUUUUCUUAGAGGCUAUUCAAAAUAAAGGUGCUUCUAACAGUUUCAUAUCGAAAUACGAUGCAAAGCCUUGCUCUUCCAUGGUAUCCUUUGAGUGAGCCAAACUUAUUUAGCCAUUCCCCUAUAGUUAAAUAGCUAGGAUGUUUCCAACAUCUCACCUUUAAAACAAUAGUGCUAUGAAUGUCAUAAAUGUUUGUAUAUGUAAAUAUGUAGGAUAAAUCCCUAUCAGUAGAAUUUCAAAAGGUAUACGCAAUCAGUAUUUUCAUACAUAUUUAAAAUUUUCCAUCCAUACAAAGGUUGCUAACAUAUUUAUUUAAAAUUUUAAAAAUAAUUUUAUAUGCCUCUUGUAACCAGUAAUAGGAUGCAAAGUUUUUGUUUUAAGGUAACAUUGCUCCUCUUCCCCCAUUGUCUCUGUCAUCUAUAGUACUCCCUAAGGUAGUUCAUGUUAUUGCAAGGGUGUGUAUCAUCCCAAACAUAUUGCUUCCACAUACAUAUAUCAGCAUACAUAUAUAUAUAUGUAUAGCAUAUAUAUAUAUGAGCACAUAUUAAUAUAUGCCCAUGCACAUACAAGCAUGUUUUUGUUAAUUUUUACUGAAAUGGAAUCAUGCUACAUACUUAUGAACAAAUUGCUUCUUUCACCUUAUAUCACUUAUAAUUGUUAUUCUACAAAUCAGUACAUAUAAAAAAUACAUAUUUACAUAUGUAAUACUCUAUCUGUUAUAAUUUUCUGCAUGCACAUGUAUGCAUAUACAUAUAUUCAUAAACAUAAAAAUCUAAACGGGAUUUUUUUG
Molecule: long non-coding RNA, 2158 nt
Filed under: Homo sapiens (human)
Lineage: Eukaryota; Metazoa; Chordata; Mammalia; Primates; Hominidae
Description: HSALNT0305206
Source: RNAcentral